This is a long non-coding RNA of Pezoporus occidentalis (night parrot), 509 nucleotides long. RefSeq lists it as uncharacterized. The record is from RefSeq and is a predicted model, not a curated record. Lineage: Eukaryota; Metazoa; Chordata; Aves; Psittaciformes; Psittacidae. The transcript has 2 exons.
GUACCACUAGACAGUGGCUCACUGCACCUCAGGAACAGCUGCUAAUGGCAAAAGGUUGGAAAAAGACAUACCUAUAUAUAGUAAAUUGGUAACCCACAGUUGGCUUGUGCCAUAACAGCACAGUCACUCAUUCCAGAUGUUUCACACAAUCCACUGAAAUCACCAACUAGAAUAUUUGCUGGAUUUAACAGACUCAUGGCCAGCUCUCAAAGCCCUGUUUUAGGAGCUGCCAAUUCCCCCAACAGAUCUGAACUGUUGAAGAUGAUACUCUUCUUUCAAUGAAGAAACUGCAAAGCUAUGACCAGACCUGCUUUGAGAAGGAAAGAGAAGUUCCAGACAUUACUAUCCCGAAGAACUGCAGAGAAUUUACUAUCUUCCUGUAUAUACAUCAAAUGAAGUCAAGCUACAUGAACUGUUUUUAUUACAAAUGACAGUAUCAAUUUAAAUUUUCCAGUAAGAAAGCUGUAUAUCUCAUGAGAGACAUAAAGAAUAAACAUGUGUUUCUGCCA